AACGCACCUUGCACGCGCUGGGGAACCAGCGCGUAUGCCUGUUUGAGAAUCGCCUACACCUUGGCCGCCAGCUGUGCGGCUGCGUUGGGGGUCAGGCCUUGGCGGUCCGUCCUCCUAAAUGGAGCAGUGGGGUCCUGCAGUGUCCUCUGUGUGCUGGAGACCGGUCGAGUCUACUCACGGGGGCGCGGCAUGUGCGCGUCUGGCUUUUGCCUUUGGCUCCUGCCUCUGGCUUUUGCCUUUGGCUCCUGCCUCUGGCUUUUGCCUUUGGCUCCUGCCUCUGGCUUUUGCCUUUGGCUCCUGCCUCUGGCUUUUGCCUCACCGCCAGCCCCGCUAACAGCAACCAACCACAACCACGAUCUCAAAUCAGGCAAGACCACCCGCCGAACUUAA
This 390-nucleotide unclassified non-coding RNA is filed under the name uncultured fungus. Its description in RNAcentral is "partial internal transcribed spacer 2". Lineage: Eukaryota; Fungi. The record is from RNAcentral.